AGAGUUUGAUCCUGGCUCGGGAUGAACGCUGGCGGCGUGCUUAACACAUGCAAGUCGAACGAAGAUGCCGGAGUGCUUGCACUUUGGCAGACUGAGUGGCGGACGGGUGAGUAACGCGUGGGUAACCUGCCUUAUACAGGGGGAUAACAGUUGGAAACGACUGCUAAUACCGCAUAAGCGCACGGUAUCGCAUGAUACAGUGUGAAAAACUCCGGUGGUAUAAGAUGGACCCGCGUCUGAUUAGCUUGUGGUGAGGUAACGGCCACCAAGGCGACGAUCGGUAGCCGGCCUGAGAGGGUGAACGGCCACAUUGGGACUGAGACACGGCCCAAACUCCGUACGGGAGCA
Molecule: ribosomal RNA, 348 nt
Filed under: uncultured bacterium
Lineage: Bacteria
Description: bacterial SSU rRNA
Rfam family: Bacterial small subunit ribosomal RNA
Source: RNAcentral